This 375-nucleotide ribosomal RNA is filed under the name uncultured bacterium. Its description in RNAcentral is "bacterial SSU rRNA". It matches the Rfam family "Bacterial small subunit ribosomal RNA", at positions 523 to 898 of the family's 1533-position model. The record is from RNAcentral.
AUACGUAGGGGGCAAGCGUUAUCCGGAAUCACUGGGUGUAAAGGGUGCGUAGGCGGUAGGGCAAGUCAGAUGUGAAAACCCGGAGCUCAACUUCGGGAUUGCAUUUGAAACUGUCCUACUAGAGUGCAGGAGAGGAAAGCGGAAUUCCUAGUGUAGCGGUGAAAUGCGUAGAUAUUAGGAAGAACACCAGUGGCGAAGGCGGCUUUCUGGACUGUAACUGACGCUGAGGCACGAAAGCGUGGGUAGCGAACAGGAUUAGAUACCCUGGUAGUCCACGCCGUAAACGAUGAGUGCUAGGUGUCGGGUCCGACAGGACUCGGUGCUGAAGUCAACGCAUUAAGCACUCCACCUGGGGAGUACGUUCGCAAGAAUGAA